AACGAACGCUGGCGGCAGGCCUAACACAUGCAAGUCGAGCGAGGACUUCGGUUCUAGUUGCGGACGGGGGAGUAACGCGUGGGAAUGGGCCCUUCUCUACGGAAUUGUCCUGGUAAACGGGGAGUAAUACCGGAUACGCUCUGUUGGUGAAAGAUUUAUCGUAGGAGGAUCAGCCCGCGUUGGUUUAGGCAGUUGGGGGGGUAAUGGCCUACCGAGCAGACGAUCGAUAGCUGGGUUGAGACGAUGAUCAGCCACACUGGGCCUGAGGCACGGCCCAGACUCCUACGGGAGGGAGCAGUAGGGAAUCUUAGCCAAUGGGGGCAGCCGUAGUCUAGCCAUGCGGCGUAAGUGAUGAAGGCCUUAGGAUUGUAACGCUCUUUCAGCUGGCCAGAUAAUGACGGUAACCGCAGAAGAAGCCACGGCUAACUCCGUG
RNAcentral lists this ribosomal RNA (433 nucleotides) under uncultured bacterium. RNAcentral describes it as "partial 16S ribosomal RNA". It matches the Rfam family "Bacterial small subunit ribosomal RNA", at positions 29 to 507 of the family's 1533-position model. The record is from RNAcentral.